AUUGAACGCUGGCGGCAGGCCUAACACAUGCAAGUCGAGCGGAUGAAGGGAGCUUGCUCCUGGAUUCAGCGGCGGACGGGUGAGUAAUGCCUAGGAAUCUGCCUGGUAGUGGGGGAUAACGUCCGGAAACGGGCGCUAAUACCGCAUACGUCCUGAGGGAGAAAGUGGGGGAUCUUCGGACCUCACGCUAUCAGAUGAGCCUAGGUCGGAUUAGCUAGUUGGUGGGGUAAAGGCCUACCAAGGCGACGAUCCGUAACUGGUCUGAGAGGAUGAUCAGUCACACUGGAACUGAGACACGGUCCAGACUCCUACGGGAGGCAGCAGUGGGGAAUAUUGGACAAUGGGCGAAAGCCUGAUCCAGCCAGGCCGCGUGUGUGAAGAAGGUCUUCGGAUUGUAAAGCACUUUAAGUUGGGAGGAAGGGCAGUAAGUUAAGACCUUGCUGUUUGGACGUUACCAACAGAAUAAGCACCGGCUAACUGCGU
This 483-nucleotide ribosomal RNA is filed under the name uncultured bacterium. RNAcentral's name for it is "partial 16S ribosomal RNA". It matches the Rfam family "Bacterial small subunit ribosomal RNA", at positions 30 to 506 of the family's 1533-position model. The record is from RNAcentral.